Molecule: ribosomal RNA, 255 nt
Filed under: uncultured archaeon
Lineage: Archaea
Description: partial 16S ribosomal RNA
Rfam family: Archaeal small subunit ribosomal RNA
Source: RNAcentral
CAGCCGUAAACUAUGCUCGCUAGGUGUCAGGCAUGGCGCGACCGUGUCUGGUGCCGCAGGGAAGCCGUGAAGCGAGCCACCUGGGAAGUACGGCCGCAAGGCUGAAACUUAAAGGAAUUGGCGGGGGAGCACAACAACGGGUGGAGCCUGCGGUUUAAUUGGACUCAACGCCGGACAACUCACCGGGAACGACAGCAAUAUGUAGGCCAGGCUGAAGACCUUGCAUGACUAGCUGAGAGGGGGUGCAUGGCGUAG